AUACGUAGGUGGCAAGCGUUGUCCGGAAUUAUUGGGCGUAAAGCGCAUGUAGGCGGUUUGGUAAGUCGGUCGUGAAAAUGCGGUGCUUAACGCCGUAUGGCGAUUGAAACUGCUGAACUUGAGGGCAGGAGAGGAAAGGGGAACUCCCAGGGUAGCGGUGAAAUGCGUAGAUAUUGGGAAGAACACCGGUGGCGAAGGCGCCUUUCUGGACUGUGUCUGACGCUCAGAUGCGAAAGCCAGGGUAGCGAACGGGAUUAGAUACCCCGGUAGUCCUGGCCGUAAACGAUGGGUACUAGGUGUGGGAGGUAUCGACUCCUUCCGUGCCGGAGUUAACGCAAUAAGUACCCCGCCUGGGGAGUACGGCCGCAAGGCUUAAACUCAAAGGAAUUGACGGGG
This 396-nucleotide ribosomal RNA is filed under the name uncultured bacterium. RNAcentral describes it as "partial 16S ribosomal RNA". It matches the Rfam family "Bacterial small subunit ribosomal RNA", at positions 523 to 918 of the family's 1533-position model. The record is from RNAcentral.